CUCAGGAUGAACGCUGGCGGCGUGCUUAACACAUGCAAGUCGAACGAUGAACCUGGAGCUUGCUCUGGGGGAUUAGUGGCGAACGGGUGAGUAACACGUGAGCAACCUGCCCCUGACUCUGGGAUAAGCGCUGGAAACGGCGUCUAAUACUGGAUAUGUGACGUGACCGCAUGGUCUGCGUUUGGAAAGAUUUUUCGGUUGGGGAUGGGCUCGCGGCCUAUCAGCUUGUUGGUGAGGUAAUGGCUCACCAAGGCGUCGACGGGUAGCCGGCCUGAGAGGGUGACCGGCCACACUGGGACUGAGACACGGCCCAGACUCCUACGGGAGGCAGCAGUGGGGAAUAUUGCACAAUGGGCGGAAGCCUGAUGCAGCAACGCCGCGUGAGGGAUGACGGCCUUCGGGUUGUAAACCUCUUUUAGCAGGGAAGAAGCGAGAGUGACGGUACCUGCAGAAAAAGCGCCGGCUAACUACGUGCCAGCAGCCGCGGUAAUACGUAGGGCGCAAGCGUUAUCCGGAAUUAUUGGGCGUAAAGAGCUCGUAGGCGGUCUGUCGCGUCUGCUGUGAAAUCCCGAGGCUCAACCUCGGGCUUGCAGUGGGUACGGGCAGACUAGAGUGCGGUAGGGGAGAUUGGAAUUCCUGGUGUAGCGGUGGAAUGCGCAGAUAUCAGGAGGAACACCGAUGGCGAAGGCAGAUCUCUGGGCCGUAACUGACGCUGAGGAGCGAAAGGGUGGGAG
RNAcentral lists this ribosomal RNA (734 nucleotides) under Microbacterium sp. VK9-3. Its description in RNAcentral is "bacterial SSU rRNA". It matches the Rfam family "Bacterial small subunit ribosomal RNA", at positions 23 to 767 of the family's 1533-position model. The record is from RNAcentral. Lineage: Bacteria; Bacillati; Actinomycetota; Actinomycetes; Micrococcales; Microbacteriaceae.